RNAcentral lists this ribosomal RNA (253 nucleotides) under uncultured bacterium. RNAcentral describes it as "partial 16S ribosomal RNA". It matches the Rfam family "Bacterial small subunit ribosomal RNA", at positions 524 to 776 of the family's 1533-position model. The record is from RNAcentral.
UACGUAGGGGGCAAGCGUUGUUCGGAAUUACUGGGCGUAAAGGGCGCGCAGGCGGCCUGACAAGUCAGAUGUGAAAGCCCCGGGCUCAACCUGGGAAUAGCAUUUGGGACUGUUGGGCUAGAGAUCGGGAGAGGAGAGUGGAAUUCCCAGUGUAGAGGUGAAAUUCGUAGAUAUUGGGAAGAACACCGGUGGCGAAGGCGGCCUGCUGGGAUCUUGCUGACGCUGAGGCGCGACAGCGUGGGGAGCAAACAGG